AUUUAUAAAAUAAAAAAAAAACAUCACUGAUUGAUAACAAAUAUAUCAUUUAUCAACUGAAAUAAAUAUGGUGAUAUUGAUAUGCAUAUAAAAAUUACUGAUCAAAUUGAAAAUGAAGUAAAUAAUUUGAAAAUAAAUAGAAUUUUUUUAAAAAAAUAAACGUGAAACGCGCGUAAUAUAAGAAUCAUUUACGUGAAAAGCCAUGUUCGAAAACGCGGCCGCCUAGCCGCCUAGGCGUUGUUCGGAGCUCUACCGCACCGAGUAUGGUCAAAUCGGGCAACCUAGGCGCUGAACCGCGUAAAUCCGCGUUGACCGCGUAAUAGCCGCGAUUGCCGCGUAAUAUCCGCGUAAUAUCAAAACACAUACAUUUUAUUAUGGCUUGUUACUAAAAGAUUUUGUGUAAUGUCCAUUAUAUUAAAACCCAAAAAAUAGUUAAAGCCCAAAACAAACAAAUAAAAACUACAUUUGGGGAUUUUUUAUCGAGCAAUCCCUAAUCUAAAAUUCUAAAUUAUUGAGAAAGCAAAGGAGAUUGAGAGUGGAGAUGUCAAGCUUAGAUUGAGAGUAAGUGACAAACUGAAACUGAAUCGAGUUACCAAAUAAAUUAAGGUAAUAUCCUUGUUCGAGUGUUAGCAAAUUAAGUUACGAAGCUAUGAAUUUUUUUUUCGUUCACUGGUGUUUGUUUGACAACUAGUUCUCUAUUUUGACUUUUGAUUAAUUGUACUUGUCUGUUUUGCUUCUUCUUUUGUUCUUUUGUGUUUGUUGUCGUGAGAAACAAAGAAGACGCUUACGUUUUGUACUUCGUCACAUACGUGCUUAUACUUCAUACAUAAUUUUUUUUUAAGGUUAAAAAGAUGGACAAUCCACCAACAGAUGCACCUCGUCCUCUGAAGCGAAAUUCAAAUGAUGUGGGAUGGGAAUUUGGAGUCUUAUGUAAUCCAAAAAAUGUAGACAAGGUCAAAUGCAAGUUGUGUGGAAAAGAAUUCUCUGGUGGUAUUUAUAGAAUGAAAGAACACAUUGCUCAUGUGAAAGGGAAUGUCUCAGCCUGUCCUGUAUCAUCUAAAGCGGAUCAAGAGAAGUGUAAGCAGGCAAUUCUUGAUGCAAAAGAGAAAAAGGGUUUGAAGAGGAAACAUGAACAAGAACUGAGGGCAGAAGUGAACAUAAACAAAGGCAGAAAUGUUGAAGAAUUGGAAAGAGAGUUGGGAACUCUUAAAAGUCCUCACUUCCAAGGUCCCAUCGAUCAGUAUGCAACCUCCAUAAACCCUGAAGCUUCUUUGGCUGCACAAGCACGACAGCAAAAUAUACAUGACGCCAUAUCUAAGGAGAAGACACAUGCUGUCCGUCAAUACUGUGCUAGAUGGAUGUAUGAGGCAAAUGUUGCUUUCAACGCCAUUGACAAUGAAAGUUUCAGGUUGUUUUGUGAAGCUUUGGGACAGUUUGGACCUGGUUGGGUUCCUCCAAGUCAGUAUCAGCUCAGAGGACCAUUGUUAUUUGAGGAACAAAAAAGGACCAAGGAAAAGUUGAAGAAUCUAGAAGAAGAAUGGGAAACAGAAGGCUGCUCAGUGAUGACCGAUGCAUGGAGUGAUAUGAAAAGAAGAAGCAUAAUGAAUUUGUGUGUCAACUCAAGGGGAGGUACAUGUUUUCUUUCAUCAAAAGACACCUCUAAAGAUUCUCACACGGGGGAGUACAUCUUCAAUUAUAUUGACCAGUGGAUUGAAGAUAUAGGAGCUGCAAAGGUAGUGCAAGUGGUCACUGAUAAUGCUACAAACAACGUGGCAGCUGCAAAGAUGCUGAAACAAAAGAGACCAAAUAUAUUUUGGACAGGUUGUGCUGCACACACUAUAGAUCUGAUGCUCGAGGGAAUUUCUAAGCUUCCGGGAAUUGCAAAGAUAAUUGACCAAGCAAAGGCUGUUACGAUCUUUAUAUAUGCUCAUCAUACAACACUGUCCAUGAUGAGAACAUGUACAAAUAACAGAGAUAUCGUAAGACCAGGAGCAACAAGGUUUGCAACUUGUUUUUUGACUAUGCAAAGCCUAUACGACAAGAAGGCACAACUGAUGAGCAUGUUCGGCAGUGAUGAGUGGCAUAGUUGUAAGCAUUCUAAGUGUCUGAAGGGUAAGAAUACAUUUGACACGAUUAUGAGUCAUGGGUUUUGGAGUAGUGUGAAUGUUGUCUUGAAGAUCUUCAGCCCUCUGGUGAAGGUUCUAAGGCUGGCUGAUGGGGAGAAAGUACCUUCUCUUGGAUUCAUUUAUGGUGAGAUUAUCGAAGCUAAGAAUUCUAUCAAAGAAGCUUCAAAUCAUUUGGAGAAGAACUACCAACUUAUCUUUCGAAUCAUUGAUGAGAAAAUGAAAGAUAGGUUAGAUACUCCUUUGCAUGUGGCUGCCUACUUUCUCAAUCCAUAUUAUUUCUACAAAGAUCCAGAAAUUCAAAAAGACUAUGAAGUCAUGGAAGGAUUCAUAUCUUGUGUAGAGACUUAUUAUCAUGGCGACUUUGAGAAGCAAAAUAGGGUUGUCAAUCAGGAGCUUAGUCUUUACAAGAGCAAAAGUGGCUCAUUUGGUAGAACUUUAGCACUCAAAGGAUGCGAGAUUAAAGAUGACAAGUUUGAUCCAGGUUUGUAUGUUCAGAUUGCUUGUCUUUCAUUAACUUUUGAUCUUUAUUCAUCAAUACGAGUGAUAUGAUGAUUUUAGGGAACUGGUGGUCAACAUAUGGAUGUGGUACACCAACUCUUCAAAAAAUGGCUACAAGGAUCCUUGCUUUGACGUCAAGCUCUUCAGGAUGUGAAAGAAAUUGGAGUUGCUUUGAAGGGGUUAGUUUAUUAGUUCUCUUUCUCUAGGAAUCUCACUAUUUCUGAAAUUCACAACUUUUUUUAAUUGCAGAUUCACACAAAAAAGAGAAAUAUGCUAGAUGCCAAUCGCUUAAAUAGCUUAGUCUAUGUGCAAUUCAAUGCAAAGCUGUUUAAGAAGCAGAAAAAAAUCAGAGAGCAAAAUGCUGAUGUGAUAUUCGAUGAUGGUAAUGAAGAUACAGUGGAAGAAUGGCUUUUGGGCCGUGUACCAGACAUAGACAAUGAUCUUAAUUUGCUACUUGUAACCCAAGCUCCAAGGGUAAGAGAUUUAUAUGAUGAUGACUUUGAGUCUGAAGAAGAUGAGGAAUAUGCUGUGGACAUGGAUUUUGAACCAGAUGUAUAUCAAAAUGCUCCUCUCUCUCGUGAUUCAUAAUCUGCUAAGUAAGGUUAGUAAUUUUAUCUUAGUAAGGUUAGUAUGUUAAGUUACAGGUCUUAUAGAUCUUAUAGAUCUUCGUUGUUUUAUAUCUUUUUAUUUGUAGGUGUAUGUCUUUUGUUGCAGGUGUAUGCUAAGUAGUCUAACUCCUAACACAUCUACCCAAUUCAUGGUGAUUAUUUGAUCUGAGGACAAAAGGAUGAAGACUUCGAUCCUUUUUUGUAUUUUGUAUGUUCUCAAGAUCAAGACAAUCUAUUUUGUGUAUCUCAUGAAUUGGAAGUUUUUGUACUUUUUGAAUUUGAUGUGUAAAGGAGAAAACAAUGUUUAUCUAUAAAUUAUAUAACAAGUUAUAUAAUUAUGUCUAAAAUUUUGUAUUAUCAUAUUUAAAAUUAGCUAAAUAUAUUAUAAAUAUAUUAAAUUGUAUUUAAAACUAGGUCCCGCGUAUAUCCCGCUUAAUCUCCGAUUUUUUGGUAACUCGCUAGGUCCGGAACUGCCGCCCGACUAGCGCCUGGCGUAAUUCCGAACAGGGGUGAAAAGGAUGGUUGGUAGAAUAUUUUAAAAACAUUUGGGCCUACAAUGGACUGAAACAGCAUAGAGAACUGGAAUACGAGAAUACUAGAAAGUCGAACAAGGCCGAUUAAAAGAGACCGAAUAAGGUCAAAUACGUAAACUAAAGACUUUGAUUUGAGUUGACCUGGUUAGGCCAAAAAUCAUAGUGUGGUGGUGGUAUUAAAGAAUGUUUAUCCAGAAGAAAAACACUUGACCAUCGAAAAAAUGAUGUCGACAGAAAGCAGAAGAAGAACAAAUUAAACAUAUCUUUGUCGAAGCAAGCGCGUUUGCGUUUGCGUCUCUGUCUCAUCCAUUAAUAUCUCUCUGUUCUUUCGCUCAAAGCUUCUCUGUUCCCGCACGUCUCUGUUUCUUCUCUCUUAUCUCUCUCUAACCAACAAAACGGAACAACAAAACCAGCAUUAGAAGAAACAUAUCAUCACUAUACGGAGUUUACAGGCGGACGAUCGUUCACCAGUCUACUUUGUUCGGCUUGAUAAACCGAGAGCUGUAGACGAUCUCUACAUAGGCAAGAGAGAAAAGAUGCGUAGGUGGUUGUGCUGCGCUUGCCACGUCGAAGAGCCUUACCAUGCUUCUGAAAACGAGCACCUGAGAAGCCCUAAGCACCAUAUUGAUUACGGUAAC
This is an RNA transcript of Brassica napus (rape), 4403 nucleotides long. It is a transcript of the gene named PTI1-like tyrosine-protein kinase 3, with no coding region annotated. The transcript has 2 exons. NCBI's taxonomy places the organism in Eukaryota, Viridiplantae, Streptophyta, Magnoliopsida, Brassicales, Brassicaceae. The record is from RefSeq and is a predicted model, not a curated record.